This 8770-nucleotide long non-coding RNA is filed under the name Homo sapiens (human). RNAcentral describes it as "HSALNT0352963". The record is from RNAcentral. Lineage: Eukaryota; Metazoa; Chordata; Mammalia; Primates; Hominidae.
GUAGUAAUUUCACAAAGAUCCUAAAUUGAAAUCCGCUGGAAUAAUAGGACACACAGGAGUAGCCGCUGUUCUCUAUUACGUACAGCAUGGCUGUAUCUGUGACCUGUGGUUGUGCAUAUUGUAGGUUUAUUUUUCACACUGCCAGUUAAGAUUUCCCAGAGUUUGACACAAAAUCUACAAUCACUGAGCCUCUACUGAUAUAUUUGUAUUGUCCGGAAGGCUGUCGAGUUCUUAGUCAAGAGAAUGGCUUCCAUGGUUUUCUUUCAUAGUGAAUGGUUUUGGAAAUAAAAUUUUAUGCUCAUACUUACUGAGGUCAGAAUCCUGAAAUUUCGUCCAGUGGUAUAAAUAAUAAUAAUAUGUCACAAGGUAUAUUAACCAUUUGCCUUGUACUAGGCCCUGUUACUACUAUUUAUAUACAUCAUUUCAUGUAGCCCUGUAACAUCCCUUUGAGAUAACUACUCUUAUAUCCUUAUUUUCAGAUGAGGAACUAAGAAGUUAAAAAUAUGCCCAAAGAGCCACAUAGUAGCAUUAACUCCAGCUCAGAGCUGACUCUUGACAGCUGCCAACAAAUUCUCUUUGUUCUUCUGGGUGGAAGACCAUGAAACAGGAAAAUAUUAAUAACAUGUAGUGUACUGCUUUCUAAAAUUUUCUUCCCGUUAUCAUAGUUUGGUUGGUAACAAUUCUUACCCACUUUUAUCUGUCUCUUUUCCUUUUCUAAAAUACUAUCCAUUUUUAUAGAAAGAGACAAAGGAAAAAUGUAUGUUCUUUUCUCCAUCUGGACGUUCUUGAAGGUUUAUGCUGAGAGAACCAUUAUUCUGUAGUGUGCCUUACCACUGACAGCCUGGGUGUAUAUUCUUCAGCCUAUUUUGUUUGUUUCUCCGCUGGAAAAAUGAAGAUGAAAUCACUGUGCCUUGCUAUCAAAGUAGGGAUGAAGGAGUAAUGUCCUUCAUAAUUACAGACAGUAUAAUUAUAAAUAAUAGGCCAUGGAUAUAACUGUAAAUAUGAAAAUGUGAGGUUUCCUCAUGAGAUACUGAGUGAUCUCAGCAGCCUGCAAAAGGUGAUAUGUGUCAAAGGACAUAAAACAGUAGGAGGAGAAAGAGCACUGAGCGAUCACGUAGUCCCAAAGUUAGCAGGGAUGCUUUCGGGGAGGCAUACCUGGAAAGAGGAUGUAAAUUCACCUUGCUGUGAAGGACUGGAGGAGCCAACCUUUUCAAUCCUGUGGCUAGUGGAGGGUCUUGAGUGUGCCUUUGGGGCAUGAAAGCCAGGAGGAAGCACACCCUGUUUAGCAGAUGUGUGGCUUCAGGGCCUUGGCAGGCAGAACAGGUUGAUUAUGCAUUGCCAUGGUUAUUCUGCCACUGAACAGUUAUACUCCAGCACCCUUCUUCAUUGCUCUGCCAAAGCACUUAUGCCUUGGAGCUCUGAGUCCAGGCACAGAAGGGACUGUCCUAAGUGAGUGAAGUGGUCAGGACGUCACUGCAGGCACUGAGAAUUUAUUAAAAUGAGGAUGAGGCAGAAUGGAGAGUUUUAUUCUCUGUAUUUGUGAGAGCUUUCUUCCGAUGCAAGAAGGAAACCCCAUCUAGUUUCAUGAAAACAUGAGCCUUGCCUAACCGACUUGGCUGCAGGCAAACCAACCCUGCCCCUGUGUUUUGAAAUUUGGGCUCUUUCCUCUUUCAUGUUCUUUUUCAUCAAGUGUGAACUCCUGAUUCUAUGUCAGCAGUUGAUCCCCAUUACAAAUAAUCUUCAGCAGAAUCUUGUUUUCCAUAUCCUAUUGACUUUGGCACCUGCUCUGUUUACUUAAGCACUCAAUUGAUAAGAACUGGAAUCUUUGCUGAUUUUUACCUAAAGCUAGAAAAGAAAACCUUUCAAGCCAGCAAAAAUAACCUUCCUCUGAAAAAAUACAUCAAAGGAGUGGUGCCAGCUCAGUUGGUAUUAGGUUGUGCAUUGCAUGGGUUGGAAACGAUGGACUGUAAAGAAAAGGGGUCUUUGCAGCAGGCAGAAGUAAAGCAACAACAAUUAAAGUAAACAGAGCAAACUUUCCAUGACAUGCUGCUACCAGCAUUUGUAAUAACCCCCAGGAUAGGACCCUACUGGAAGACGGGUUAGCUAGUGGGAAACUGACAGGAGGGAUCAGGAGUGGGGAGGCAGGACACAGUUACUAGAGCAGAGAUACGUAAUAAAGGCUUGGAGAUAGAAACAAAAGCAAAACAUUUAGAAUGGUUAAGACUCACUUGAUGUCACUUACCUGUCCCAGUGAUUGGGUUCUUUUCAGUGCCCUCUGUGAAGACAAGAAUGACAUCAGAGCAUACGUCCAGCUCUACUUUCUCAGGAGCCACAGAUUUUGGCUCUUCAUGCAGAAAUACUCAGAAUAUGCAGAUAAUGACACAUAUCAGAAACCUUAUCACUGAACAUUUUAAAUUCCAUGGUGGGGGAAGGAGGCAUGUCCUACACAAUAGGCAUCCUGUUUUGGGGGAGGUUUAUCACAAAAACUUUUUAUUGAUCACUGAGGGGAAAAAAUGGGGUUUUCAUCUGAAACCUUGGGUGUCUCAGUCUUUUUCUUUCCGAUUUUGUGUAAGCUAGACAAUUAUGUUGGAUUUACUUUCUCCAUCUUCAGUGGAAGAAAUGACCUUGUUGAGUAAAACAAGUAUGUUAAGUGUCAAUUCAUAAACACAGGUUUGUAUGGAAAGAGAGGAUAUGAAAUUAGACACACCUGUGAAGAUCUGGGGAUGGGUGACAUCUUUUUUUUCCAGUAAACAUUUAUUGAUCCUUUAUGAGGUACCAAGCACUUUAGUAAGAGCUGGGAAGAGGAGAAAAGAGCAAUGGUGGUCCUUGUUCCCCAGGAGCUCUAAGACCCUGUGUGAGACAGAUGUGGGGGUGGGGAUGUGCCAUGGUGGUGAGCAGGCAGGAGUGAUGGUGCCUGGGAAGAGGCAGGCGAGGGUCACGAGAGCCUGCAGAGAAAAGGAGGCAUUUGAGUCGGUCAUGAAGGACACCAGCAGUUUUUACAGGUGGACAAAAGACAUGUAAGGCAAAGAGAACCUCAAAGAGAGAAAGUGUGGACAUCUGGAUGGGUUUGCCAGGUCUGGGGAACUGAAAGGAGGUCUGAGUGACUGCUAAGAUUAAAGGCACAGAGUGGGAGGUGAGGAGGCUAGGAAGUUCUAGAGGGUUCAAAUCAGAAAUGCUUUGUCCUGUAAAUCGUGUGGAGCUGUGGAAAGGCUUUAAGCAGGUGAGUGAUGUGAUUAGGUUUACGUUCCCGAGAAAUCAUUCCAUCACACUGUGGAGAACGGACUGGAAAAAGAUCUUCGUGGAUGCAGAAGAUGAGCAUAGACACUGUUGCUGUGGCCCGAGCAGGAGAGAAUGAGGCCCAGACCCAGGGCAGUAGAGGUGGAGGUGUAGAGGAGGGACACAGUGAGAGAGAGAGAUGGAGGAGACUGAAGAACACUGAGUGAGUAAACUGGAAGUGGUGGAUGCAGGAGACCAGGAGGAGCCAGGGUUGUCCAGGAUUUCUGGCAGAGCUGACUUGGUGAGUGAGGGCAUUAUUGACUCUGACAGAUAAAUGAGAAGAAAACCAGCUUCUGAGGGGUAGUGGAAGCAGAUAGGGGCAUGCGGGGCAUGUUGAGAUGUGUUGGGACAUGCUGCGAUUGAAGGGGCCUGCGGCCAUCAGGUGAAGUGUGUAGCCGACAUUUGGAAGUACUGGCCUAGAGCUUAGGUGAAAGCCUGGCUGAAUAGGUAAGGUGCCACUGGUGUCAUAGAAUGAGGAGAAAGUAGUAUCAGAAAAUCACAGAAGAACGUAGUUUUAGACAGAGUGGUCAGUACAGCAUUAUCAAAUACUGUCAAGGGCUGGGCAAGGUGACUCAUGCCUGUAAUCCCAGCACUUUGGGAGGCCAGGAGUUUGAGACCAACCUGGGCAACAUGAUGAGACUCCAUCUCUACAGAAAAUUUAAAAAUUAGCCAGGCAUGGUGGCGCACCUGUAGUCCCCAGCCACUCAGGAGGCUGAGGUGAGAGGAUCGCUUGAGCCUAGGAGGUUGAGGUUGCAGUGAGCCAUGAUUGUGCCACUGCUCUCCAGCCUGGGCAUCAGAGAAGGCAAGUAAGAGAAGAGCUGAAAGGGGCCCCUUGGAUUCGAUCAUCUCCUGCCAGCUCUUGCUUUGUGGAACUGUGGUGGAGGUGGAAAACAGAUUACAACAGGAUGGGGGAAGCAGGGUAGGAAGCAGGUUGAAAAGCCAGUACGGAUGACCAGAUGACCAUUUUCCUUCAGUUUAGCUGGGAGAGGAUUCAGAAAGCACUGGCCGGUAAGGUACCCAUGGGGUCAGGUUUAAAUCAUCAUUCUAGUUGUAGACCCCACAUGGCUCCACAUUGAACUCCUGACCCCACUCCAGUAUCAAGGCUUUGUCUCGAUAUUGUCUGUGGCUGAGAAGUAGUGCACUAUCAGGUCUAUAAAAUCUCUGGUAAAAUAAAAAAAAACUCUUAUUAUUUCUAUUUUUUAGAUAGUUUUAGGAUGCUUGAGAGUCAUGUUUUAAUUCCCCCAUCCCUGCAGUGAGAUGUUAUGUUGCUUUCUGGAAAACCUUUGGGAGUCAUCAGUUAUCCUCUUCCACGGUUAAAUAAUCGACGUCCUUUGCUGUCGGCUGGAGCAGGGGGUGCUGUCCUGUGACUCAUGUGUUCUCAUUCACAGCAUGUUGAGCAAUGCACUUGGUGCUAGUGCCUAAUAAAGCAUGCUGAGGAUGUUGUCACUGAGCUCGAAUUUUCCUCAGUGGGGCUAGAUUUCUGUCACCACACAUUUUUCUUCUUGCUACACUCUGAGACACUUCUCAAUGAAACAUUUGUCCUUUUUUCCUUUAUUAUGUCUAGAACGGUGUCUUCUCUAACUUAGUAUUGCAUUUUGCUGUCGGGUAUUUAUCUCUGAUUCUGAAUUGUAUUUUUAGUGUUGCUUGUGUUCUUUCCUUUUCCUUUUUCCCCAACAAAGAACUUCUUGGAAGGUCUUCCAUCCCUGUCUCCCUCCAGACUGCCUUAGGGAAGCCAGAAGCCAUGCACAGUGAGACUUAUGAUGCGGACGUUGGCUCUGAUGAGAGGCCAAUACCACAGCCCUCAGAAGGGCAAAGGCUCAGCUCCCUGGAUAGACCACUCCUUAUUCCCACCACACUAAUUAAUUGUCAUCUCAGAAGGCAAUGAGACCAAUUGUUCUGGCAUUGCCCUGGCCAAGCCAACUCUGGAAGAGGCAGUGAGCUGCCAGCUUUUCUGCUGUUGGCCAGGAAUCUGUAUCCCAGCAGUCUGUCAGGGAAAACAGGCCAAUUUGGGGUUUGAAUUGCUGCCUCAGAGAUGCCAGCAAUGGGGUUGCUUGUUAAGAGAGUUGCACCCUAAGACUCUAGUGAAAUAGCUUGAAGAUCUGUGAGAGUGGUUUGAAUUCCGACAUGUGAAAGUAUGUGCUUUGCUUGUGAAGUGGAAAUUGCCCUAUUCAAGUGGGCUUAUGAGUCCCCUUUGUCACUUAGCUUGUCACUGAACUUAAAAUCUUUGUUCUUUACUUUCAACUUUACUGAGGGGGAAGAAUUUGGUGUUAAUAGAUGUGAAAGCUCUGUAGAAGAUGUUACUGGACACAUCAGAGAAAGAACUGUGAUUUUUAGACUCUUGGCAGUGGCUUCACAGUGGCCCCAAGGAGACAGGGGUAGGUGGGACUGUUCUCAUUGAUCGUGAUAGAGACAGUGAAGCAGAAAACCACUUAUGUGAUUUGUCUGAGGUCCUACCUAGCUGGCUGAAAUCCAGAGCAUCCAACACGACUACAUCACCUAACAUCUAAAAUGACAUUGCCUUGAAGGGAGAGAAACUGAAAUGGACAGAUACUUAAGUGCAGGUCUGCUGCUACCAUAGAGUGCCUUUGUGCAAAUGGAAAAGGCAUCUCUAGGCCCCAUGGGCAGGCAGAUUACACAAAGGUGCUUCUUAGUGACUAACCAAGGCACACAGCUUGGUGAGCAGAAUGCUGACUGGUUCCAGGCCCCAGGUUGAUCUCCACCACAUGUCCCUUUGCACAAGGCCCAAAAUGCACAACCACAUAGGGAGGCCCUGCAUAGACGUUUGCCUUGACAGUGGACUAGUUCAUAGAUAUUUGUAGCCAGUUGACCAAAUCCUUAUUUUACCUCCCCACUUUUCAUUCCCAAGGUAAAAAAUAAAGUUCAUCUAUUAAAAAACUAAUUGUAUGUGCCCCACCUUAACAGUAUUCUUAAGGAGCUCUAUUUUUUUAACCACUUUUCUCUCCCUGUAAAUUAUACUACCCACCCUUCCUUUUUGAUAUCUGCUGUAGCAAAUUGUAAGGCAGCACUCUGCCCACAGGACGUGGUCUUUAAAGGAGUCAUUUCCUCUUCCAUCUCCUCCAGGCCAUUCCCAUCGUGUUUUUCGUGGCACUGGCAACAGGAAGGCACACUGAAUAGCAGUGCUGAAAAGGCACUUUGUUGUUUAUGUUAUUACUGUGGGUUUGUCUCUGCCUAAUAAUUAGCGUUUCCGGCUUUCUGAAUUUAUUUGCCAAAAUAUUUGCAGGACUUUCGUGAACAAAUAAGGGAUGUGUUUCUUGACAUAACUGACCACUGCCUUGCAAGGCUGAGCGAGAGAUGUUUCUAGACAUAAUAGACCACUGCCUUGCAAGGCUGAGCAAACUUCUGGCUGUCGGAGUUUUUUUAGAUGGAUUUGCUCAGGGAAAGAUUAUCCUAGUAAGGCAAACACCUUCUAAAUCACUAAUCUGGCAUUGAUGCUAUCUCAGCGACCACAGUUCAGGAAGUUCGAAGUAUUCCAGUGUUCCUUUCAGGACAGGGUAGGUCAUUACUGAGGGGUGGCGAGUUCUUGGGUCCCAGGGGCAAAAGUCUAGUCCUGUCUGAGUUCCCUCCCAGUGAAGUUCGUGAGCCUCAGCUUCCUCAUCUGUAAUGUGAGAUAAUCAUAUUUGUCUUGUCUGGCUCAUAGAAUUGUAGUUGAGGGUUAAAUGAAAGAAAAUAUAUGUAGAAGUGCUUUGCUAACUCUAAAACAUUACAAAAAUGUUAUUUAUAUUAGACUCUAAGGAUACUGUUCUCUGAGGGAGGAUUAACCAAGGAGAGAGCCUUGUUCACUAUAUUUAGGUUAAAAGGGACGUGCUUCACUCUCUGCUGCAUUUUCUCCUCACAUAAAGGAGAAAAUAAGAUGAUAAACAGUUCGGCCAUCUCCCUGGCCCCUUCCCGACCUACCUUACCCAUCUAACUGGUUCCUUCUCUGUGUUGUUCUUUUGAAGAGGUCUUCUUGGCCUACCAGGAUUGCCCACGUUUCUUUGGACCCAUUGCACACCCAUAAGGACCACCCCCUUCAUUCUUUUUUCCUAUCAUAAUCAGCCUCUCCUAACCAGCUUGUUUUUCUAGCUGGGCAACAAUAACUCAAAUCCCUGCAAGUGUGCAGGUGAAUGGAGCAGGCAGGGUGAGGAAUUGAUGGCAUUGAAGCAGGCGGAAAGCGCUUGCCCCUCCCAAGGGGCAGCCACAGCUUGGCUGCAGCCAGCUGUUACCUUGUGGAAUUGAGGGCCCUGACUUGCCACACAUCUCCUGAUUUUUCAAGAGAAGGCAGAAAUCAGGAUUUUUAAGGGAAAUUUCCUCAUUUUUAAUGUUGGAAGCUAUUUCAAUGUUUUUUAAAUUAUAUUACGCAAAUCAACAGACCGUGGCCAAACAGCACGUUUGUGAACUGUGUUUUGCCCACAGACGGCUGGUUUGUGACCAUCUUCAGGUCUUUGAGCACAAGUGUGCCUCGUUUCCUCAAGGAUAAUACACAUGAAUGCAGUGCUCAGCUAGAGCAUCGCCUCCUGGCCUACCUCUGACUCUCUCUAGUUUCACUUGGUCACAUUUCUCUUUGAUCUGCUGUGACAUGACUCCCACUUUAAGCAACAACUCUUUCUUUAGUUGACGGUGACAUUUUUUUAGGACCCUCUUAUCUAUACUAGUCUUGGCCUUUCUGCCCUCAGGGUCCCUAUGCUAGACCCUCCAAGAUACCACCCUUUCUUCAAGCCGAGUGAUGAUUGCCCAUGUCAGUCACUUUCCAUCUGUUGCAGAUUGUUUAUACUGUGUAAAGUUUUACAGUAAGUGUCUUUGCUGCUUUCAGUGUUUCUGGAUGAGGUGGUCGUCUUUCUGAUUAUAAAGAGAUGGUUGUGAGAUGCUGAGGAAGGAUAGAUACAAGCCUUAUAGUGAACUUGGAAUUGUGUUCUUUAUGUGCUUAUGGAAUUGUGUUCUUUAAAGUAACUUUGGGGGUUCAUAUGAGAAUAUAACCCUGCUCAGAAGAAAUUACUUUUAAAAUAAUAUCCACAAAGGAACUGGUUAGAUUUUCUCAUGUGUUCUGCAGAUAUUUACCAAUGUAACCUACAUUUUUUCUUGAUGCCAGAUAGAUUGUAAGGAAUUUGCAUUAUUCCAUCUCAAGUGUAUAAUGAAAUAAUACACUGAAGCAAUUCACCACCAAGAGUUUUGUUUAAAAAAGGAAGUUCCAGCUCCAACUUAGGUUCAACAAUUGCUUCUGACACUUGCCAGUGGCUCAUUGUAAGAAACAAACAAUAAACAUUACCAGUGGAGAGAGAAAUGUAAUACCAUUUUAGAUUUUCUGACAAGAAGUAGUGCCAAGGACCCCUGCAAAAAUGGUUUGUUUUUAAAAUCUCCAGUUCUUUGAGUUAUAUUUCCAACGAGUUACAGUAUUGAAAUGCUUUAAAAAAAAACUAAUUUCAUGUUAGAGUAGUACUUUGCAGUUUAGAAACUUUCAUAUAUAGUAUUUAACUUCAUCCCCAUAGUUUUGUAAUAA